CUGCCCUCAAGCACGGCUUGUGUGUUGGGCCCCCGCCCCCCGGCUCCCGGGGGGCGGGCCCGAAAGGCAGCGGCGGCACCGCGUCCGGUCCUCGAGCGUAGGGGGCUUCGUCCCCCGCUCUGUAGGCCCGGCCGGCGCCCGCCGGCGACCCCCCUCAAUCUUUCCA
This 166-nucleotide unclassified non-coding RNA is filed under the name uncultured Penicillium. RNAcentral's name for it is "sequence contains ITS2". Lineage: Eukaryota; Fungi; Ascomycota; Eurotiomycetes; Eurotiales; Aspergillaceae. The record is from RNAcentral.